This 1185-nucleotide long non-coding RNA is filed under the name Capra hircus (goat). RNAcentral's name for it is "lncRNA (ENSCHIG00010020131.1)". Lineage: Eukaryota; Metazoa; Chordata; Mammalia; Artiodactyla; Bovidae. The record is from RNAcentral.
AUGGGGUCAAGAAGAGUCAGACAUGACNNNNNNNNNNNNNNNNNNNNNNNNNNNNNNNNNNNNNNNNNNNNNAAAUGGCAACCCACGCCAGUGUUCUUGCCUGGAGAAUCCCAGGGACGGAGAAGCCUGGUGGGUGGCUGUCUGUGGGGUUGCAGCAGCAGCAUUGGCUUGAAACAGUACCAUUUAUCAUUGCCAGACGUGGCAUGGCUGGGCUCUCAGCUCAGAGUCCUGCUGGGUGAAACUGAGGUGUUGGUGGGGCUGCAAACUCACUGGUUGUCAGCAGGAUUCAAUUCCUGCAGCUGUAGGACUGAGGUCCCAUCAUCUUGUGGGUUGUCGGCUCCUGUAGACCAUCCUCAGGCCCUGUGGUCCCUCCAUCUGAGGAACAGAGUGCGUCCCACACAUCGAUUCCCUCUCUGGCUUUGAAUCUCUCUAAUCUCACCUUCCACAAGCAGCUGGAGAAAACUAUUUUUUUUUUAAUGGCUUUGAGUGAUUAGGUCAGGCCCACUUGGAUAACCUAUCUCUUAGGCAACUUAUAACCUAAUCACGGGAGUGAUGGCGGAGUCACAGGUUCCACCCACACCCAAUGUAGGGAGUUCACGAGAGCAAAGGUCAUCGGGGGCCAUAGGAGAAUUCUGCUGCCACAGAAGGGAGACCACGAAGGAGGUACAGAGAAAGUUAAGGAACUUCCCUCAGGAAGUAUGGAGAAUUGGAGAUGGAGCCUGAAGCAGAAACGGGGGCCCCAACCCUAAUCUGAAGCUUUAUCCUCUACACAAACGUGACAGGAGCAGCGGGUGGAUGGACAAGAUGACCAUUCAGGCUCCAGCUGACGUUUCAUGGCCCACAUGCUCACGUGCACACAGGGAAUCCCGGCCUUCUUGGGGUUGAGGGGUGUGGAUACCAGCUAUAGGAGCAGGGAUGAGGCCCCAUAGAAGCAUAAAGCCCUUGCCUGGGAGAUGAUCCUAAAUGCACCCAGGAAGGCAGAAUGGGGGUCACACGCCUCUGUUGGGGUUUGUAGCAAACUGCAAUACCCGCCAAUGCCCUGGUCCCCUUUCCUACCCUAUCCACAGGGAGAGUCCUGGGCCAACAAGACUAGGGUCCCCCAACCACUAGGGGGCGACUAGCACACACAAUGUUUUUUGUCCAGGCUCACCCUGAGCACAUCUGGGAAACCCAACUGCACAUACU